UAGGGAAUCUUCCGCAAUGGGCGAAAGCCUGACGGAGCAACGCCGCGUGAGUGAUGAAGGUCUUCGGAUCGUAAAACUCUGUUAUUAGGGAAGAACAAACGUGUAAGUAACUAUGCACGUCUUGACGGUACCUAAUCAGAAAGCCACGGCUAACUACGUGCCAGCAGCCGCGGUAAUACGUAGGUGGCAAGCGUUAUCCGGAAAUAUUGGGCGUAAAGCGCGCGUAGGCGGUUUUUUAAGUCUGAUGUGAAAGCCCACGGCUCAACCGUGGGGGGUCAUUGGAAACUGGAAAACUUGAGUGCAGAAGAGGGAAGUGGAAUUCCAUGUGUAGCGGUGAAAUGCGCAGAGAUAUGGAGGGAAAACAGUGGCGGAGGCGACUUUCUGGUCUGUAGCUGACGCUGAUGUGCGAAAGCGUGGGGAUCAAACAGG
RNAcentral lists this ribosomal RNA (429 nucleotides) under Actinomycetes bacterium. RNAcentral describes it as "Actinobacteria bacterium partial 16S ribosomal RNA". It matches the Rfam family "Bacterial small subunit ribosomal RNA", at positions 355 to 776 of the family's 1533-position model. Lineage: Bacteria; Bacillati; Actinomycetota; Actinomycetes. The record is from RNAcentral.